GGUCUUGUGUCUCAGUGGUAGAGGGCUCCUCUAGCAAGUGUGAGGCACUGGGUUCAAUCCUCAGCACCA
This 69-nucleotide transfer RNA is filed under the name Marmota monax (woodchuck). Its description in RNAcentral is "tRNA.Ala". The record is from RNAcentral. Lineage: Eukaryota; Metazoa; Chordata; Mammalia; Rodentia; Sciuridae.